This 659-nucleotide long non-coding RNA is filed under the name Salmo salar (Atlantic salmon). RNAcentral's name for it is "lncRNA (ENSSSAG00000100516.1)". Lineage: Eukaryota; Metazoa; Chordata; Actinopteri; Salmoniformes; Salmonidae. The record is from RNAcentral.
CAUCUUGAUAGCUGAGCUCCACUAUACUGCACCAACAACUAUUCUUCAAAUCUCCUUGUAAUUGCAAUAGAUUUUUAUUUUUAUGUAUGUUUAUGGGAAAAACGUGAUAGAUCGCUAACUCCAAAAUACCCGACCGACAACUAUCCUUAUAUUCUUGUAAUUUCAAUGGUAAAAGCCAUUACAAGUAACGGUUACUGGGAAGUGGGAGACAUCUAGCUGGAGUGAUUGUUGCUGUGAUGUUGGAAGGAGAUGUUUCCUUCUCCGGAUGCAGAGGCUGUUUUCCGAGCGUACGAGGGAAAGCUAGGAAUGUUGCUGAGUGUUCCUGUGUGUCACCCCAAGGCUCCUGGUGAGGAGUCCUGGAAACGUCAGGUCAAGGCGGAGUCUUUUCUGGUGCAGACAGACCAGACCAAAGGGGAGCGAUGGAGGACUGUUUGAGGACAGACUCCUAAUCACUCCGAGGCUCACUGCCUCCCAGCUAGGCCAGCUUAAUGACAACACCACCCUGAGUCCUGGAGGUUACUGCUGGAUAAUAACUGGAGUACAUCACAGAGGGUGAAUCAUUCUCUGUACUGUCUGCUCCUGCCUUUCUUCCUGUCCUGGAAGAAACAAUUAACAGUGGGGACUCUGAGUCGCAUUCCAGUGUCAGCAGUGUUCUGUCU